Molecule: ribosomal RNA, 327 nt
Filed under: Escherichia coli
Lineage: Bacteria; Pseudomonadati; Pseudomonadota; Gammaproteobacteria; Enterobacterales; Enterobacteriaceae
Description: bacterial SSU rRNA
Rfam family: Bacterial small subunit ribosomal RNA
Source: RNAcentral
AAAUUGAAGAGUUUGAUCAUGGCUCAGAUUGAACGCUGGCGGCAGGCCUAACACAUGCAAGUCGAACGGUAACAGAAAGCAGCUUGCUGCUUUGCUGACGAGUGGCGGACGGGUGAGUAAUGUCUGGGAAACUGCCCGAUGGAGGGGGAUAACUACUGGAAACGGUAGCUAAUACCGCAUAACGUCGCAAGACCAAAGAGGGGGACCUUCGGGCCUCUUGCCAUCGGAUGUGCCCAGAUGGGAUUAGCUAGUAGGUGGGGUAAAGGCUCACCUAGGCGACGAUCCCUAGCUGGUCUGAGAGGAUGACCAGCCACACUGGAACUGAGA